GAUUACCUGCCCUGCAGGUGAUAUGUGAAAAAAUUGAUCCAUCAAAUUAGAUCUUUCGGGAGCCAGCGUAAGGUGUCGGUGUGCAUGUUGCCCCUGCGGCAGAAGCCUAAAGACCCCUUCAUGGCACCCACCUAUUUAAUAGGCGGAUCUGAUUGUUCACAUACACGGCAGGGUGGGAUCAUU
RNAcentral lists this non-coding RNA (183 nucleotides) under Nitrospirae bacterium GWC2_42_7. RNAcentral's name for it is "6S RNA". It matches the Rfam family "6S / SsrS RNA". Rfam says of the family: E. coli 6S RNA was the first non coding RNA to be sequenced, but its function was unknown until recently. It consists of 184 nucleotides that fold into an extended hairpin structure with a large single-stranded internal bulge. Lineage: Bacteria; Pseudomonadati; Nitrospirota. The record is from RNAcentral.